UGGCCUUGACAUAGAAAGAACUUUCCAGAGACGGAUUGGUGCUAGUUUACUAGAGCUUUCAUACAGGUGCUGCACGGCUGUCGUCAGCUCGUGUCGUGAGAUGUUGGGUUAAGUCCCGCAACGAGCGCAACCCUCAUGUUUAGUUACUAACAGUUCGGCUGAGGACUUUAAACAGACUGCCUGGGUAACCAGGAGGAAGGUGAGGACGACGUCAAGUCAUCAUGGCCCUUACGGCCAGGGCUACACACGUGCUACAAUGGGGUAUACAAAGAGCCGCAAUACCGCGAGGUGGAGCAAAUCUCAUAAAAUAUCUCCCAGUUCGGAUUGAAGUCUGCAACUCGACUUCAUGAAGUUGGAAUCGCUAGUAAUCGUGAAUCAGCAAUGUCACGGUGAAUACGUUCCCGGGUCU
RNAcentral lists this ribosomal RNA (409 nucleotides) under uncultured bacterium. RNAcentral describes it as "bacterial SSU rRNA". It matches the Rfam family "Bacterial small subunit ribosomal RNA", at positions 976 to 1381 of the family's 1533-position model. The record is from RNAcentral.